This 648-nucleotide ribosomal RNA is filed under the name uncultured marine bacterium. RNAcentral's name for it is "bacterial SSU rRNA". It matches the Rfam family "Bacterial small subunit ribosomal RNA", at positions 8 to 637 of the family's 1533-position model. The record is from RNAcentral.
AGAGUUUGAUCAUGGCUCAGGACGAACGCUGGCGGCGUGCCUAAUACAUGCAAGUCGAGCGGACUGAUGGGAGCUUGCUCCCAUCAGUCAGCGGCGGACGGGUGAGUAACACGUGGGUAACCUGCCUGUAAGACUGGGAUAACUCCGGGAAACCGGGGCUAAUACCGGAUAACUCAUUUCCUCGCAUGAGGAAAUGUUGAAAGGUGGCUUUUAGCUAUCACUUACAGAUGGACCCGCGGCGCAUUAGCUAGUUGGUGAGGUAACGGCUCACCAAGGCAACGAUGCAUAGCCGACCUGAGAGGGUGAUCGGCCACACUGGGACUGAGACACGGCCCAGACUCCUACGGGAGGCAGCAGUAGGGAAUCUUCCGCAAUGGACGAAAGUCUGACGGAGCAACGCCGCGUGAGUGAUGAAGGCUUUCGGGUCGUAAAACUCUGUUGUUAGGGAAGAACAAGUACGAGAGUAACUGCUCGUACCUUGACGGUACCUAACCAGAAAGCCACGGCUAACUACGUGCCAGCAGCCGCGGUAAUACGUAGGUGGCAAGCGUUAUCCGGAAUUAUUGGGCGUAAAGCGCGCGCAGGCGGUUUCUUAAGUCUGAUGUGAAAGCCCACGGCUCACCGUGGGGUCAUGAAUAGGAAACUGAG